AUACGUAGGUGACAAGCGUUAUCCGGAUUUACUGGGCGUAAAGGGCGUGUAGGCGGUCUUGCAAGUCAGAAGUGAAAUUCCUGAGCUCAACUCGGGCGCUGCUUCUGAAACUGCAGGACUUGAGUGCUGGAGGGGAUAGCGGAAUUCCUAGUGGAGCGGUAAAAUGCGCAGAUAUUAGGAAGAACACCGGUGGCGAAGGCGGCUAUCUGGACAGUAACUGACGCGGAGGGGCGGAAGCGUGGGGGGCAAACAGGAUUAGAUACCCUGGUAGUCCACGCUGUAAACGAUGAAUACUAGGUGUAGGGGGUAUCGACUCCCUCUGUGCCGCAGGUAACACAAUAAGUAUUCCGCCUGGGGAGUACGGCCGCAAGGUUGAAACUUAAAGGAAUUGACGGGG
RNAcentral lists this ribosomal RNA (397 nucleotides) under uncultured bacterium. Its description in RNAcentral is "partial 16S ribosomal RNA". It matches the Rfam family "Bacterial small subunit ribosomal RNA", at positions 523 to 918 of the family's 1533-position model. The record is from RNAcentral.